CGUGCUUAACACUUGCAAGUCGAACGAUGAAGCCCAGCUGCUGGGUGGAUUAGUGGCGAACGGGUGAGUAACACGUGAGUACCUGCCCCUGACUCUGGGAUAGCGUUGGAAACGACGUCUAAUACUGGAUAUGACUACUGGUCGCAUGGCUGGUGGUGGAAAGAUUUUUUGGUUGGGGAUGGACUCGCGGCCUAUCAGCUUGUUGGUGAGGUAAUGGCUCACCAAGGCGACGACGGGUAGCCGGCCUGAGAGGGUGACCGGCCACACUGGGACUGAGACACGGCCCAGACUCCUACGGGAGGCAGCAGUGGGGAAUAUUGCACAAUGGGCGAAAGCCUGAUGCAGCAACGCCGCGUGAGGGAUGACGGCCUUCGGGUUGUAAACCUCUUUUAGUAGGGAAGAAGCGAAAGUGACGGUACCUGCAGAAAAAGCACCGGCUAACUACGUGCCAGCAGCCGCGGUAAUACGUAGGGUGCAAGCGUUGUCCGGAAUUAUUGGGCGUAAAGAGCUCGUAGGCGGUUUGUCGCGUCUGCUGUGAAAUCCCGAGGCUCAACCUCGGGCUUGCAGUGGGUACGGGCAGACUAGAGUGCGGUAGGGGAGAUUGGAAUUCCUGGUGUAGCGGUGGAAUGCGCAGAUAUCAGGAGGAACACCGAUGGCGAAGGCAGAUCUCUGGGCCGUAACUGACGCUGAGGAGCGAAAGCGUGGGGAGCGAACAGGAUUAGAUACCCUGGUAGUCCACGCCGUAAACGUUGGGCGCUAGAUGUAGGGACCUUUCCACGGUUUCUGUGUCGUAGCUAACGCAUUAAGCGCCCCGCCUGGGGAGUACGGCCGCAAGGCUAAAACUCAAAGGAAUUGACGGGGGCCCGCACAAGCGGCGGAGCAUGCGGAUUAAUUCGAUGCAACGCGAAGAACCUUACCAAGGCUUGACAUACACCGGAAACGGCCAGAGAUGGUCGCCCCCUUGUGGUCGGUGUACAGGU
This 980-nucleotide ribosomal RNA is filed under the name Curtobacterium luteum. RNAcentral describes it as "bacterial SSU rRNA". It matches the Rfam family "Bacterial small subunit ribosomal RNA", at positions 43 to 1039 of the family's 1533-position model. Lineage: Bacteria; Bacillati; Actinomycetota; Actinomycetes; Micrococcales; Microbacteriaceae. The record is from RNAcentral.